RNAcentral lists this unclassified non-coding RNA (259 nucleotides) under Glomus sp. RNAcentral's name for it is "partial contains 5.8S ribosomal RNA and internal transcribed spacer 2". The stretch from base 1 to 65 matches the Rfam family "5.8S ribosomal RNA", at positions 84 to 154 of the family's 154-position model. Lineage: Eukaryota; Fungi; Glomeromycota; Glomeromycetes; Glomerales; Glomeraceae. The record is from RNAcentral.
GUGAAUCAUCGAAUUUUUGAACGCAAAUUGCACUCUCUUCGGAUAGUAUGCCUGUUUGAGGGUCAGCCUCAAAAAAAUCGACAUAGUUUCUGUUACGCGGUAACAUUCGUCGGAAAUUGGGUCAUGUUAUACCUUUGGGGUUAAGUGGCUUAAAAUUUACUUUACGUUUUUAAGUACGUUUCUAAUAUUUUAUUUUCUUAUACGUUUAAGGUAUCGAUCUUUAUUAUACGGGGCUGUUGCAUCGGUUCUCGUCAAUAAA